Molecule: unclassified non-coding RNA, 221 nt
Filed under: Hevea brasiliensis (rubber tree)
Lineage: Eukaryota; Viridiplantae; Streptophyta; Magnoliopsida; Malpighiales; Euphorbiaceae
Source: RNAcentral
ACUUCAGGAUUUUCAUCCUUUUGUUGUUCUACUAUGUACCAAACAAUUCUCCAAAGGGUCCUUGGGAUAUCUUUCCUUAAAUUCUGCUUCCACAAUCUCAUCAAUAACAUCCACCCUUAAACAAGGAUCAACUCCAUGAUAUUUCUUCAAAGUCUGAUUCAAAUUAAAUUCCACUUCCUCUUCUCCAACUUUUAAUGUCAAUCUAUCAUUCUUUACAUCAA